UUGACCUCGGAUCAGGUAGGAAGACCCGCUGAACUUAAGCAUAUCAAUAAGCGGAGGAAAAGAAACCAACAGGGAUUGCCCUAGUAACGGCGAGUGAAGCGGCAACAGCUCAAAUUUGAAAUCUGGCUUCGGCCCGAGUUGUAAUUUGCAGAGGAAGCUUUAGGCGCGGCACCUUCUGAGUCCCCUGGAACGGGGCGCCAUAGAGGGUGAGAGCCCCGUAUAGUUGGAUGCCUAGCCUGUGUAAAGCUCCUUCGACGAGUCGAGUAGUUUGGGAAUGCUGCUCAAAAUGGGAGGUAAAUUUCUUCUAAAGCUAAAUACCGGCCAGAGACCGAUAGCGCACAAGUAGAGUGAUCGAAAGAUGAAAAGCACUUUGAAAAGAGGGUUAAAUAGCACGUGAAAUUGUUGAAAGGGAAGCGCUUGUGACCAGACUUGCGCCGGGCGGAUCAUCCGGUGUUCUCACCGGUGCACUCCGCCCGGCUCAGGCCAGCAUCGGUUCUCGCGGGGGGAUAAAGGUCCUGGGAACGUAGCUCCUCCGGGAGUGUUAUAGCCCGGGGCGUAAUGCCCUCGCGGGGACCGAGGUUCGCGCAUCUGC
RNAcentral lists this ribosomal RNA (592 nucleotides) under Chaetomium globosum. RNAcentral's name for it is "eukaryotic LSU rRNA". It matches the Rfam family "Eukaryotic large subunit ribosomal RNA", at positions 1 to 604 of the family's 3401-position model. Lineage: Eukaryota; Fungi; Ascomycota; Sordariomycetes; Sordariales; Chaetomiaceae. The record is from RNAcentral.